Molecule: ribosomal RNA, 497 nt
Filed under: uncultured bacterium
Lineage: Bacteria
Description: partial 16S ribosomal RNA
Rfam family: Bacterial small subunit ribosomal RNA
Source: RNAcentral
GAUGAACGCUGGCGGCGUGCCUAAUACAUGCAAGUCGAGCGAACAGAUGAGGAGCUUGCUCCUCUGACGUUAGCGGCGGACGGGCGAGUAACACGUGGAUAACCUACCUAUAAGACUGGGAUAACUUCGGGAAACCGGAGCUAAUACCGGAUCAUAUAUUGAACCGCAUGGUUCAAUAGUGAAAGACGGCUUUGCUGUCUCUUUUAGAUGGAUCCGCGCCGCAUUAGCUAGUUGGUAAGGUAACGGCUUACCAAGGCAACGAUGCGUAGCCGACCUGAGAGGAUGAUCGGCCACACUGGAACUGAGACACGGUCCAGACUCCUACGGGAGGCAGCAGUAGGGAAUCUUCGGCAAUGGGCGAAAGCCUGACGGAGCAACGCCGCGUGAGUGAUGAAGGUCUUCGGAUCGUAAAGCUCUGUUAUUAGGGAAGAACAAAUGUGUAAGUAACUAUGCACGUCUUGACGGUACCUAAUCAGAAAGCCACGGCUAACUACGUG